UUGAGCGCUGGCGGCAUGCCUUACACAUGCAAGUCGAACGGCAGCACGGGUGCUUGCACCUGGUGGCGAGUGGCGAACGGGUGAGUAAUACAUCGGAACAUGUCCUGUAGUGGGGGAUAGCCCGGCGAAAGCCGGAUUAAUACCGCAUACGAUCUACGGAUGAAAGCGGGGGACCUUCGGGCCUCGCGCUAUAGGGUUGGCCGAUGGCUGAUUAGCUAGUUGGUGGGGUAAAGGCCUACCAAGGCGACGAUCAGUAGAUGGUCUGAGAGGACGACCAGCCACACUGGGACUGAGACACGGCCCAGACUCCUACGGGAGGCAGCAGUGGGGAAUUUUGGACAAUGGGCGAAAGCCUGAUCCAGCAAUGCCGCGUGUGUGAAGAAGGCCUUCGGGUUGUAAAGCACUUUUGUCCGGAAAGAAAUCCUUGGCUCUAAUACAGUCGGGGGAUGACGGUACCGGAAGAAUAAGCACCGGCUAACUACGUG
This 485-nucleotide ribosomal RNA is filed under the name uncultured bacterium. RNAcentral describes it as "partial 16S ribosomal RNA". It matches the Rfam family "Bacterial small subunit ribosomal RNA", at positions 30 to 507 of the family's 1533-position model. The record is from RNAcentral.